Molecule: non-coding RNA, 1159 nt
Organism: Misgurnus anguillicaudatus (oriental weatherfish)
Lineage: Eukaryota; Metazoa; Chordata; Actinopteri; Cypriniformes; Cobitidae
Source: RefSeq, a predicted model, not a curated record
UAUAGACCGGUGUUGUUCUGAUGCUUUACUUCAUGCCACCAGUGAGGAAACCUUAUAACAGGCUUACAUGACUUGCAUGCAAAAUAAUGCAAACCCGACCGAAACCCACCCAGAGGUCAGCCGGAGGGACCUGUCCAAAUACUCUCCUAAAUUCAUUAGGAUCAGAAGACGAAUAUGCAUUUCCACCGCAUCCUGGUGAUUGGAGAUAAGAGUUUUGUAAACAGAUCUGUUCAUAUUGUGUCAAGCUGCAGAGACUUUGGAUCAACUCACAGAUUUGGGACAAAAUGUUACUAUAAACUGUGAUCUGAAUGAAGAAGAGAUUUAUUGGUUAUUACUGAAAACAUCAGAUCCUCCUGUGAUGAUAUUACGUGCUUUAUCAUCAACAGCUUCAUUCUUCAACAAAACUUUAAGAAAUAAAUAUUCACUUCAAUCUAAAAAUCAUCUGUUUAUAAAUAACAUCACUAUUAAUGAAUUAGGAGUUUAUUACUGUAUGAAGAUAGAAACAACACCACCUCCAAAAAUCAGCAGUGGCACCAGACUACAUGUAAAUGAGCCAACAGAAAGACCAAACCAAGUAACUUCUAUACAGCCAAAUCAUACAGUAGUGAAUGACAUUGAACAAAAUGAGGACAGAGUCACACCAUAUCAGACUCUUACCAUCAUACUUGGUCUGCUGAAUGGUGUUUGGUUCAUUGUGGUCAUAGGGCUAUUUAAGGUUUUUGUUGUUGGAAAUAAAAGAUUUGGACAAGGUUCACAACAACUUCAUAACACUGAUCUACAGCAACAUCAAGUUGUAGAGCACCAUCAAGACCCAAAUCAAUUACAGUAUGCAGAAGUGGACUUUUCAAAACUGCGUAAAAAAUAUCGACCCAGCAAAGCCGAUAGUACUUAUGCUGCUCUGAAGCUGCCAAAACUGCAAAUAUAAGCCUGAUCUUACAGUGUACAGUAUUAUCAAUACAUCACAGAUGUACAAUCAACCUCACAGAUUUAUAAGUUAAGAGGUUUUUAUGUGUUUUGAAUAAUUGAGAUAUUCAAUGUGGUGACUGAUGCUGCUUAUCCAGUGUGGUUUGUUAAAUACUGUAUAUAUAUUCAUCCGUCGAAAUUGCAGCUGGGUUGCCGGUAACUUACCGUAGAUUUAAAUUUAUGUUUUUUACUGGCA